Molecule: ribosomal RNA, 498 nt
Filed under: uncultured bacterium
Lineage: Bacteria
Description: partial 16S ribosomal RNA
Rfam family: Bacterial small subunit ribosomal RNA
Source: RNAcentral
ACUCAAAGGAAUAGACGGGGGCCCGCACAAGCGGUGGAGCAUGUGGUUUAAUUCGAUGCAACGCGAAUAACCUUACCUACCCUUGAAUCCCUGGAAUUUGGCAGAGAUGCCGAAGUGCCUUCGGGAACCAGGAGACAGGUGCUGCAUGGCUGUCGUCAGCUCGUGUCGUGAGAUGUUGGGUUAAGUCCCGUAACGAGCGCAACCCUUAUUCUUAGUUGCUAGCAGGUAAAGCUGAGGACUCUAGGAAGACUGCCGGUGAUAAACCGGAGGAAGGUAGGGACGACGUCAAGUCAUCAUGGCCCAUACGGGUAGGGCUACACACGUGCUACAAUGGCCGGUACAAAAGGUUGCGAACCCGCGAGGGGGAGCUAAUCCUAUAAAGCCGGUCCUAGUCCGGAUUGGAGUCUGCAACUCGACUCCAUGAAGCUGGAAUCGCUAGUAAUCGUGGAUCAGCACGCCACGGUGAAUACGUUCCCGGGCCUUGUACACACCGCCCGU